ACCACUGGCAAACCGACUGAAUCCGAGGUCACCUGGAUAAAAAUUAAGGGGUGAUCGGCAAGCGCCGGCCGGGCCUACAGAGCGGGUGACAAAGCCCCAUACGCUCGAGGACCGGACGCGGCGCCGCCGCUGCCUUUCGGGCCCUUUCGGGCCCGUCCCCCGGGAGCCGGGGGACGAGGGCCCAACACACAGACCGGGCUUGAAGGCACCAAUGACGCUCGGACAGGCAUGCCCCCCGGAAUACCAGGGGGCGCAAAGAGCGUACAAAGACUCGAUGAUUCACUGAAUUCUGCAAUUCACAUUAGUUAUCGCAUUUCGCUGCGUUCUUCAUCGAUGCCGGAACCAAGAGAUCCAUUGUUGAAAGUUUUAACUGAUUGCAAAGAAUCACACUCAGACUGCAAGCUUUCAGAACAGGGUUCAUGUUGGGGUCUCCGGCGGGCACGGGCCCGGGGGCGAGUCGCCCCCCGGCGGCCAGCAACGCUGGCGGGCCCGCCGAAGCAACAAGGUACAAUAGUCACGGGUGGGAGGUUGGGCCAUAAAGACCCGCACUCGGUAAUGAUCCUUCCGCAUUCCCCCCCCCCCCAAAACCCCCCUCCCUUCUUUUUCUCUCUCUUUCUUCUUUUUUCUGUCUUCCUUCUUGUUAAUUCACAUUAGAUAUCUUUUCA
RNAcentral lists this unclassified non-coding RNA (665 nucleotides) under Aspergillus terreus. RNAcentral describes it as "sequence contains ITS1, 5.8S rRNA gene and ITS2". The record is from RNAcentral. Lineage: Eukaryota; Fungi; Ascomycota; Eurotiomycetes; Eurotiales; Aspergillaceae.